RNAcentral lists this ribosomal RNA (460 nucleotides) under uncultured bacterium. Its description in RNAcentral is "partial 16S ribosomal RNA". It matches the Rfam family "Bacterial small subunit ribosomal RNA", at positions 338 to 795 of the family's 1533-position model. The record is from RNAcentral.
CCUACGGGGGGCAGCAGUGAGGAAUAUUGGUCAAUGGACGCAAGCCUGAACCAGCCAUGCCGCGUGCAGGAUGACGGCCCUAUGAGUUGUAAACUGCUUUUGUACGGGGGUAAAGUCCGAUACGUGUACCGGGUUGAAUGUACCGUACGAAUAAGGAUCGGCUAACUCCGUGCCAGCAGCCGCGGUAAUAUGGUGGAUCCGAGCGUUAUCCGGAUUUAUUGGGUUUAAAGGGUGCGUAGGUGGUUUGGUAAGUUAGAGGUGAAAUGUCGGGGCUCAACCCCGAAACUGCCAUUGAUACUGUCAGACUAGAGUAUAGUUGUGGUAGGCGGAAUGUGUGGUGUAGCGGUGAAAUGCUUAGAGAUCAUGCAGAACACCGAUUGCGAAGGCAGCUUACCAAACUAUAUCUGACGCUGAGGCACGAAAGCGUGGGUAGCAAACAGGAUUAGAUACCCCAGUAGUC